RNAcentral lists this ribosomal RNA (292 nucleotides) under uncultured Comamonadaceae bacterium. Its description in RNAcentral is "partial 16S ribosomal RNA". It matches the Rfam family "Bacterial small subunit ribosomal RNA", at positions 505 to 796 of the family's 1533-position model. Lineage: Bacteria; Pseudomonadati; Pseudomonadota; Betaproteobacteria; Burkholderiales; Comamonadaceae. The record is from RNAcentral.
GUGUCAGCAGCCGCGGUAAUACGUAGGGUGCAAGCGUUAAUCGGAAUUACUGGGCGUAAAGCGUGCGCAGGCGGUUAUAUAAGACAGAUGUGAAAUCCCCGAGCUUAACUUGGGAACUGCAUUUGUGACUGUAUAGCUAGAGUACGGCAGAGGGGGAUGGAAUUCCGCGUGUAGCAGUGAAAUGCGUAGAUAUGCGGAGGAACACCGAUGGCGAAGGCAAUCCCCUGGGCCUGUACUGACGCUCAUGCACGAAAGCGUGGGGAGCAAACAGGAUUAGAAACCCUAGUAGUCC